GCCCGCCAUGGCGCCCGCCCUGUCACGUGCGCCCGCGGCCCCGCCCCGCGCCCGGAGCCGGCGGGCCCGGGGUCACUGAGGGGUUUGUCAGGAAAACACAGCAUAGGGACCGCGAAAUGCGGUCCGGUUCCUUUCUCCUUCUUCCCUUGUUCCUCCUUUGCCAUCAUGCUGAGAGCCAAAGCACAGGGCUACAAACAGAACAUCUCCUGGCUUGCCAUCCCCUUUGGUAGCUGAGGGUGGAGUGAGAAGUCCUAGCAAAACAGCACUAGACGCAGGACAGGAAGAGAAAAUAAGAUGAAGAAGCUCUUGGCUUGAGAUAAAGACAAGAUUACUCAGCCGCUACCACCAUGAGCAAAACAAAAUCCUUCUCAACCUGGGGAGAAUUCAUUUAAUUUAUUGCCCAUUAAAAAUGGAACAGGAUAAUGAGAAACAAAGACAAAACUAAAGCCACCUUCUUCCUGAAGUACUGCUUCAUUCCCCACUCUUCCACCCUGAAGAGCACAGUGGGAUGGGGGCUGUUACCAACUCAUAACACUGUACUUCUGCCACUCCUUCCUUUUCACUGCCCCAGCAUGUCUGGCCCACAGGAUACAGUUCUUCACAAACUGCUCCAGUGUGGUUGUCCCCACAAGGUACAGUGCUAAAAAAAUGGACUGUUCCACCAUGGGUCCCCCAGGAGCUGCAGCUCCUGCCACAAAACCAGCUUCUGUGUAGGCUCCUCUCCACAGGCUGCAGUUUCUGCCAGAAGCCUGCUCCAGAGGACCCUCCAUGAGCCGCAGCUUUCUUCAGGGCAGAUCCACCUCCUCUGUCAUGGGAUCCUCCAUGGGCUGCAGGGUGGAUCUGCCCCACUGUGGAUCUCCAUGGGCUCAAGGACAACCUGCUUAACCAUAACCUUCUCCACUGGCAUCAGGGGAAUCUCUGCUCCCAUGCCUAGCACACCUCCUCCCACGUCCUUCUUCACUGAUCUUGGUGUCUCUGAGGUUCUCUCAUACCUUUCCUCUUUACUGCCCUCCCUCUCACAGCUGUUACACUGUACUUUUAACCCUUUCUUAAAUGUUAUCACAGAAGCACCACUGGCAUCGCUCAGCUUUGGCAGCAGCUGGAAUUGGCUCCCUCUGACACAGGGGCAAGCUUCAGGUCUCUUCUUACAAGAGGCCAGCCCUGCAGUCUCCACCUUCCCCCAAACUUGUAAAUCCAAUACAACAGCUGCCAUCUGUGGUGCGUCAAUCAUUUCAAAGAACAGGCAAAAACAUG
This is a long non-coding RNA of Oenanthe melanoleuca, 1254 nucleotides long. RefSeq lists it as uncharacterized. The record is from RefSeq and is a predicted model, not a curated record. Lineage: Eukaryota; Metazoa; Chordata; Aves; Passeriformes; Muscicapidae. The transcript has 3 exons.